This 301-nucleotide ribosomal RNA is filed under the name uncultured bacterium. RNAcentral describes it as "partial 16S ribosomal RNA". It matches the Rfam family "Bacterial small subunit ribosomal RNA", at positions 509 to 809 of the family's 1533-position model. The record is from RNAcentral.
CAGUCGCCGCGGUAAUACGGAGGGUGCAAGCGUUAAUCGGAAUUACUGGGCGUAAAGCGCACGCAGGCGGUCUGUCAAGUCAGAUGUGAAAUCCCCGGGCUUAACCUGGGAACUGCAUUUGAAACUGGCAGGCUAGAGUCUUGUAGAGGGGGGUAGAAUUCCAGGUGUAGCGGUGAAAUGCGUAGAGAUCUGGAGGAAUACCGGUGGCGAAGGCGGCCCCCUGGACAAAGACUGACGCUCAGGUGCGAAAGCGUGGGGAGCAAACAGGAUUAGAUACCCGGGUAGUCCCUGUCUCUUAUAU